This 111-nucleotide ribosomal RNA is filed under the name Entamoeba coli. RNAcentral's name for it is "partial 18S ribosomal RNA". Lineage: Eukaryota; Evosea; Mastigamoebida; Endamoebidae. The record is from RNAcentral.
GGUAACGCCCUCGUUUGAGUGUAUUCCUCCGGGGAUAUAAUCAACCGAGGAGGGGAGGAUCCUAUGGUCCUUUCAAUAUAUUACCACUUCUUUGUGAAUAAGGGUGGAUUA